RNAcentral lists this ribosomal RNA (458 nucleotides) under uncultured bacterium. Its description in RNAcentral is "bacterial SSU rRNA". It matches the Rfam family "Bacterial small subunit ribosomal RNA", at positions 29 to 524 of the family's 1533-position model. The record is from RNAcentral.
AACGAACGCUGGCGCCAUGCCUAACACAUGCAAGUCGAACGGGAUCCUAGCUUGCUAGGUGAGAGUGGCGGACGGGUGAGUAACACGUGGGAAUCUGCCUUUUGGUUCGGGAUAACCGCGGGAAACUGCGGCUAAUACCGAAUGCCCUCGUGAGAGGAAAAGAUUUAUCGCCAGAAGAGGAGCCCGCGUCCGAUUAAGUAGUUGGUGGGGUAAAGGCCUACCAAGCCGACGAUCGGUAGCUGGUCUGAGAGGAUGAUCAGCCACACUGGGACUGAGAUACGGCCCAGACUCCUACGGGAGGCAGCAGUGGGGAAUAUUGGACAAUGGGGCAACCCUGAUCCAGCAAUGCCGCGUGAGUGAUGAAGGCCUUGGGGUUGUAAAGCUCUUUUGCCAGGGAAGAUGAUGACUGUACCUGGAGAAUAAGCCCCGGCUAACUUCGUGCCAGCAGCCGCGGUAAU